RNAcentral lists this ribosomal RNA (420 nucleotides) under uncultured archaeon. RNAcentral describes it as "partial 16S ribosomal RNA". It matches the Rfam family "Archaeal small subunit ribosomal RNA", at positions 323 to 746 of the family's 1478-position model. The record is from RNAcentral.
CUACGGGUCGCUGCAGCUGAGGAAAUUUUACAAUGUUCGAAAGAAUGAUAAAAUAAGCCAGAGUGUUUUUCUUAGAAAAACUUUUGUCUGCUGUAAAAAGGCAGACGAAUAAGGACUGGGCAAGACCGGUGCCAGCCGCCGCGGUAAUACCGGCGGUCCAAGUCGCAUCCACAUUUAUUGGGUCUAAAACAUUCGUAGCUUGUUCUGUAAGUCUCUUGUGAAAUCUCAUGUCUCAAGCAUAAGGCGUGCAAGAGAUACUGCAUUACUAGAGACCGGAAGACGUAAGGAGUACGAUUGAGGUAGCGGUAAAAUGUGUUAAUCUUGAUCGGACUAACAAUGGCGAAGGCACCUUACGAGUACGGAUCUGACAGUGAGGGAUGAGGGCUAGGGGCGCAAAAGGGAUUAGAUACCCUAGUAGUC